Non-coding RNA from Pelobates cultripes (western spadefoot toad), 240 nucleotides. Lineage: Eukaryota; Metazoa; Chordata; Amphibia; Anura; Pelobatidae. The record is from the annotation of a GenBank genome assembly.
UAAGAACAGUGUUAUAAAUAAAUAACAUUUCUCAAGAAGUAAAAUUGUCUUUUCCCAACAUAUUCUCUAAUCCUCUAACAUAUGAUAUUCUAUAUAUUCUCAUAUUAAGGAGGACACUAUGUGUGGGCUGAGUGUGGCAGGGUGAGUGUAAUUGGGUGAGUAUGACAGGGUGAGUUUGGGUUGGUGAGUAUGAGGGACACUGAGUGUGGCAGGGUGAGUUUGAGAGGAAGAAUAUAGGAG